This 3044-nucleotide ribosomal RNA is filed under the name Meloidogyne incognita (southern root-knot nematode). RNAcentral describes it as "eukaryotic LSU rRNA". The stretch from base 1593 to 3037 matches the Rfam family "Eukaryotic large subunit ribosomal RNA", at positions 1889 to 3399 of the family's 3401-position model. The record is from RNAcentral. Lineage: Eukaryota; Metazoa; Nematoda; Chromadorea; Rhabditida; Meloidogynidae.
GCUAUGCCUCUAGGAGGCAAUAUAAUAUAAUACCUCCACUGUGAGAGAUGUUCGAGGACAACGCUAUCUAUCAGCAUGUUUUUGCUAUAAACGAUUAUCCAGGCUGCCACUGGGUAAUCAUUGCCAAAUAUACAGGACUCAGUGGGUACAGCCUGGAUAAUCAUUUAAAGGACAAAUCUGCUCAUAGCAUUAUCUUGGAACAUCUCUCAUACUUGACAAAGGAGAGCCUUUUGGGUGUCCGUGGGACUUCGGGAUGAAAUUUGGCAGACAGGUAGAUCAUACCCUUUCUAUUGUAAAACUUGAAACCGUUUCCGCUGAAUAAUACCGUGGACCGAGUUACAUCUCUCAUACUUGGUAACACAGUCCUAAAGUCUUCUUAUCCUCAUAUAAAUCAAUUUCUUUUCAGUUAUAAAUGUGUUCAGCAGUGGUGCUUUUAUGUUCACGAUCGUUUCGUGGUGACAGUCGUGUUGGCGGGCACCCAAUAAAAAUUGGGUAGAAAAGUCAAAGGUUUUAAAUAUACCUAAAUUAAAUAUACCUAAAUUUUAGAUAUACCUAAAUUAAAUAUUCUUAUAUUUUAGAUUGCCGUCUUAUAAAUUGUCGGAUUAUAAAAUCAUUACAGUUAAUUUAUAAUAACAAAAACGAUACCCCAUUGUGCAGAAGGGAAUGCAAUCAAUGAUAACGUCUUGAACUGGCAUGCACGGGAGAUGUGUUAACAAGGGCUGGAUAGAACCUUGAGGUAAGAUUAAAAUCCAAAUUAAAAAUAUUUUUGUAUUUUAGAUGUCAGUCGUGUGAUUGUCUUAGUAAGAAUACCAUAACGUCUACUAUGGAUUGCGUAACUUUGGAUUUUACGCAUGAAGGGCCAUAAAAUUUUAAUCAUAUAUAACAAUACACAUAAAAAGUAAAAUAAUUUCAAUACACAUAUAAUACACAAAUAAAAUACACAUAAAAAAUAAAACAGUUUCAAUAUACAUACAUACAAUACAUAAAUAAGAUACACAAUAAAUAAAAUUACUGUGGUUGUCAAGGAGAAGUUAUAUCUUGAGCUUCAUAAUCCGUUUAGCAAAUUCUGGUCUCAAAAAUCACAUUUAAUGUUACUGUGUGAAGGGGACAUGACAAAAUUUCUCAAAAAUUGUUCAAUAAUUCACUACUAUUAAAUAAAUACUAUAAAAACAACCACUUUUACUAUUCCUACGACCACUUUUCGUUUUCUUUCUUGCUUAAUUCUCUUUCCAUUUAUUUUUCUCAUGAUGGCGCAUAGCUAGGGGUUGCAUUUGGUCCAUUUCUCUUUUCGCCUCGACUCAUAUUAUAUUAGAAAAGUGGUUGUCUGUUGAGUAAAAUUGAAAAAGUGGCUGUGUGCUUGCGAAUUGUAAAAUAAAGUGGUUGUUUGCUGAGGAAAUGGAAAAGCAGAAUGUAUAGGAAAAUAAAUAAUUCUCGACGUAGCAGAUCUCAAGUCCUUCCGGGCUUCUUGGCGCCUUUCUAUGUAAAUUCUUAUCAUCCAAUCAACACGUUUACGGUACAAUCUGAAGACUCAAGUGUGUUACUUUGAUUUCUAACCGUUUUAAAUCGAUGUCAUCAUUCCAAAAGGCGCUUCGGAUGGAUUAAUGGAUAAGCGGACAAAGACGGGAUUUGAAUCGGUAGUGAGGUAGUAGUGAGGACUGCUUGUGGAGUGCUUCAGCUGCGUGCUAUUUCGCAAGAUAUAGUACUUCGAUUGGCGCUGAACAACCAGUUUAGAACUGGCACGAACUCCGGGAAUCCGACUGUCUAAUUAAAACAGAGGAGACGGAUGGUCCUUGCAGGACGUUGACCGUGUCUGAUUUCUGCCCAGUGCUCUGAAUGUUAAGCCAAGGAAACUUGAUUAAGCGCGGGUAAACGGCGGGAGUAACUAUGACUCUCUUAAGGUAGCCAAAUGCCUCGUCGGCUAACUACCGACGCGCACGAAUGGAUCAACGAGAUUCCCACUGUCCCUAUCUACUAUCUAGCGAAACCACAGCCAAGGGAACGGGCUUGGCAAAUUUAGCGGGGAAAGAAGACCCUGUUGAGCUUGACUCUAGUCUGACUUUGUGAAGAAUCAUGAGAGGUGUAGCAUAAGUGGGAGUCGUAAGACAACAGUGAAAUACCACUACUUUCAUCGAUUCCUUACUUAAUCGGUAAAACGGGAGUUGUGUCUACGGACCUUCAUUUUUGUUUUAAGACUAGCCACUCGGUGGUUGGUUGACUCGCGCCGAUGACAUUGUCAGGCGGGGAGUUUGACUGGGGCGGUACAUCUGUCAAAUUGUAACGCAGGUGUCCUAAGGCGAGCUCAGAGAGGACGGAAACCUCUCGUUGAGCAAAAAGGCAAAUGCUUACUUGAUCUUGAUUUUCAGUACGAAUACAGACCGCGAAAGCGUGGCUUAUCGAUCCUUUUGAGUUUGUAAAGUUUACAGCAAGAGGUGUCAGAAAAGUUACCACAGGGAUAACUGGCUUGUGGCGGCCAAGCGUCCAUAGCGACGUCGCUUUUUGAUCCUUCGAUGUCGGCUCUUCCUAUCAUUGCGAAGCAGAAUUCGCCAAGCGUUGGAUUGUUCACCCACCAAUAGGGAACGUGAGCUGGGUUUAGACCGUCGUGAGACAGGUUAGUUUUACCCUACUAAAUACGUUGCUAUGAUGGUAAUCCUGCUUAGUACGAGAGGAACCGCAGGUUCAGACAUUUGGUUCAUGUGCUUGGUCGAUAGGCCAAUGGCGCGAAGCUACCAUCUGAGGGAUUAUGACUGAACGCCUCUAAGUCAGAAUCCCGCCCAGUCAUGAUAGCAAUAUAUAUCGCUCUCCGGUGUCGGAAGGCAAAAUGUAUGCCACUUUUGUGGUAGUACAAGCCCCAGUAUCUGGCAUUUUCUUUCUACUAUAAUUGGUAGUUGGUUGCUAAAAGCUUAGCACUCCUCGUGCAGGUGUAACGUCGGGGCGCAAAAUCACUUGUAUACGACUUGAAUACUGGUCAGGGGGUUGUAUCCAGUAGAGCAGCUCUUCGCUGCGAUCUGUUGAGACUUAGCCCUUGAUCGGAUGAUUUGUCUUUU